This 492-nucleotide ribosomal RNA is filed under the name uncultured bacterium. Its description in RNAcentral is "partial 16S ribosomal RNA". It matches the Rfam family "Bacterial small subunit ribosomal RNA", at positions 29 to 507 of the family's 1533-position model. The record is from RNAcentral.
AGUGAACGCUGGCGGUAGGCCUAACACAUGCAAGUAGAACGGCAGCACAGUAAGAGCUUGCUCUUACGGGUGGCGAGUGGCGGACGGGUGAGGAAUACAUCGGAAUCUACUUUUUCGUGGGGGAUAACGUAGGGAAACUUACGCUAAUACCGCAUACGACCUACGGGUGAAAGCAGGGGAUCUUCGGACCUUGCGCGAUUGAAUGAGCCGAUGUCGGAUUAGCUAGUUGGCGGGGUAAAGGCCCACCAAGGCGACGAUCCGUAGCUGGUCUGAGAGGAUGAUCAGCCACACUGGAACUGAGACACGGUCCAGACUCCUACGGGAGGCAGCAGUGGGGAAUAUUGGACAAUGGGCGCAAGCCUGAUCCAGCCAUACCGCGUGGGUGAAGAAGGCCUUCGGGUUGUAAAGCCCUUUUGUUGGGAAAGAAAAGCAGCAGGUUAAUACCCCGCUGUUCUGACGUUACCCAAAGAAUAAGCACCGGCUAACUUCGUG